This 436-nucleotide ribosomal RNA is filed under the name uncultured bacterium. RNAcentral's name for it is "bacterial SSU rRNA". It matches the Rfam family "Bacterial small subunit ribosomal RNA", at positions 28 to 446 of the family's 1533-position model. The record is from RNAcentral.
GAUGAACGCUGGCGGCGUGCUUAACACAUGCAAGUCGAGCGAAGCGCUUUGGAAAGAUUCUUCGGAUGAUUUCCUUUGUGACUGAGCGGCGGACGGGUGAGUAACGCGUGGGUAACCUGCCUCAUACAGGGGGAUAACAGUUAGAAAUGACUGCUAAUACCGCAUAAGACCACGGUACCGCAUGGUACAGUGGUAAAAACUCCGGUGGUAUGAGAUGGACCCGCGUCUGAUUAGGUAGUUGGUGGGGUAACGGCCUACCAAGCCGACGAUCAGUAGCCGACCUGAGAGGGUGACCGGCCACAUUGGGACUGAGACACGGCCCAGACUCCUACGGGAGGCAGCAGUGGGGAAUAUUGCACAAUGGAGGAAACUCUGAUGCAGCGACGCCGCGUGAAGGAUGAAGUAUUUCGGUAUGUAAACUUCUAUCAGCAGGGAA